Molecule: long non-coding RNA, 577 nt
Organism: Salvia miltiorrhiza (redroot sage)
Lineage: Eukaryota; Viridiplantae; Streptophyta; Magnoliopsida; Lamiales; Lamiaceae
Exons: 2
Source: RefSeq, a predicted model, not a curated record
UAUGAGAGAUAAAUCGAGACUUAGAACCAUGAUUUUCUUGAAACCUAUCCUUGAGCUUAAGGAUUUGAGAUGAGUGGAGAGUCUAUAUAGAGUUGAAUAAGGAAAUAGAAUAUGAGAUAGAGCAAGAGUUAAGGCAUGAGAUUUGUUAAUGAGUUUCUAAUCGAGAUUCAUUUUAUGACAUGAACCUUCGAUGAUGAUGAUGAUCCCUGAAGACACGAGCAGAGCAAGGAAGUAAGUAACUCCGCUUUGACGGGAGAUUUUGAGUAAGGUCUUCAGGCUAAGCGGGGAGCGAGAUUGGUCUGGUGCUGGUGGGGAACCGUUUCAAUCGAUGUGAUCAUAUUUAAUAUUGCCGUUAUGAUUGAUAGAGUCUUGAUGAUUAAAAAUACUUCGUUUCCUUUCGAAUCAAGUAAUAUACUCACGGUUAUGUGUCUUCAUACAUAUAAUCGGUUCGCCUUUUGCUGCGAUACUCUACAUAUUAUGCUUCCUUAUGAAAAAUGAGCUAUACCCAUUUUGUUUUUGUUCGUGAAAUUCCUGAUAAUUAAAAAGUUAUAACGACGUUGACGAUUUUACCCUUGGG